GAGUUUGAUCCUAGCUCAGGAUGAACGCCGGCGGUGUGCCUAAUACAUGCAAGUCGUACGCACUGGCCCAACUGAUUGAUGGUGCUUGCACCUGAUCGACGAUGGAUCACCAGUGAGUGGCGGACGGGUGAGUAACACGUAGGUAACCUGCCCUGUACAGGGGAUAACAAUCAGAAAUGACUGCUAAUACCGCAUAAGACCACAGCACCGCAUGGUGCAGGGGUAAAAACUCCGGUGGUACAGGAUGGACCCGCGUCUGAUUAGCUGGUUGGUGAGGUAACGGCUCACCAAGGCGACGAUCAGUAGCCGGCUUGAGAGAGUGAACGGCCACAUUGGGACUGAGACACGGCCCAAACUCCUACGGGAGGCAGCGAGGU
Molecule: ribosomal RNA, 377 nt
Filed under: uncultured microorganism
Description: bacterial SSU rRNA
Rfam family: Bacterial small subunit ribosomal RNA
Source: RNAcentral